AUUUUUAAAAAGGGUUUUAAAUGCCAAUAUAUAUAUGCUAAAAAUUAGAAAGUGAUCGAUCAAAUUUCUUUUAGGUACAAGCAAAGAAUAAUAAACAUGGAUGCGGUUCUCAAGUUUGUUUAUACUAUGAUCCUAUAUCUUUUCCUACUUCAUGUUAUAGCCGAAGAUUUCCCUUUUCACAAAUGUGAAAAGGAUGAAGACUGUCUAGAAAUUUGUGCUGACGAUCAAAUGGCAAUGUGCAUUUUGAAUGUUUGUUUUUGUUAUUAAACAACGGCUACGCAUAUUGCCUAUAUUAUGCAAGUGUUGUUAUUAGUGGUUUGUUGGUACAAGAUAUACGGAGAAUGAAAUGUCACUGCUUGUAUAAUUAUAAAUGAACUGCAACAAAUAAAUGUAAUGUGGUUAUGUAAAAUCAUUAUUACUAAAUGAUGACAAUGUAAUUAUAAUAUGUAUAAAGUUUUUUUUUACUCAA
Molecule: long non-coding RNA, 469 nt
Organism: Medicago truncatula (barrel medic)
Lineage: Eukaryota; Viridiplantae; Streptophyta; Magnoliopsida; Fabales; Fabaceae
Exons: 3
Source: RefSeq, a predicted model, not a curated record